GGGAUCUCAGGUGCCAGAGCCGGACAAUACCUUGCAGAGCUACUGCCAAUCAAAGUGGACCAUAUUGGACUAGAUCAUCCAGUGACAUGACUCCACUGACAGGAAGGAUAUAGUCAUUAUGGAGAUUCUUUAGAUGCUGGCAAAACUGUCCCCUUUGAAGUUUCUCCAUCACUGUCACCCUGGAGAUAAAGGGUACUCAAUCUUGACAUUCUAAUUGUGGAUACAAGAUAAAAGGCCGGAUUAGAAACUUCAUAACCUCAUGCAGAGAGAGAGAGAAAUGAGAUCACCAUGAGGUCAUUUCACUUCUGCUUUUGACAUACAAAUCUUGGAGCAAGACUAAGGUAGCAGAGGGUAAGGAGGCAUGCAAAUGGAGAGAGAAGAAUGGAGCACCAGGCUGGCCUACCAAUGAGAUGUGGUGAGGUGGACACCUCAGUGGACAGAUGCGUGGAGGUGGUAGCAGAGGGCAUCCCAUGUCUAUGCCCACCAGCCAUCUCAGCUGGCCACCCUGUCCCUUCUCAACCUGGUGGCCUCUGUACCUGUUUUGGAUGAGAUCAUUAUGUUUUCCCUGCCUAGAGCAGCAAGAUGAGUGGACACACUUCCUGCCAAUCUGUUCCCCAUCCUUUUUUUCUUUACAAAAGGCUGGAAAAGUAGAACAAGCUCAGCCAGAGAAGGAGCAGAAGUAGAAGUGGUGUGAAGCAAGGAAAUCAGGAACUAGAACUUCAAGAUUAAGGAUGAGAAGAAUGUUAUCACCAGAGAAGAGCAAGACACUGUACAUAGUUCUGGUCCCUGACCAGAACAAGACCUCCUCAGCCCACUGUAAGGAAUCUGGAGUCUGGAAGUGAGACCCCAGUUCUCCAGUUUAUUUCCUGGCACAAGGAAAUAAACUGGUCAGGGUUUAACCAAGGUGACCAAGACAGUUUCUGUCCCAAAACCAGACUGGAAAUCAGAUGGGAAUUUAUCUAAAUAAUUGAUAUCAUCCAGAACAAUCUGGCAAUGAGAUGAUACCAUGUGCUCCCACACCUUACCCCAAGAUAGCAAAUUUGAUACUAGAUGAUAUUUGGUCAAAUCAGCUGGAUCUAGGGUGGAUUAGCCCUAUAGAGACAUGGACUCUGUGCUGUCUUAUCAGACUAAGCAAGUUGUCUUUAGAGGGAAACUGCUGUUGGCCUGCGUGCUACCCACCCUCUUGCAUGAUCUUUGGUGCAAUUGUCUGUAUGUCUAGUGUUUCUAGUAUUCUUGUUCCCUGAUUUGCGAAUGCAAGAGCCAGGUAUACUUUAAGUGUAGCUUCCUGGAUGGUUGUUCUCACAGUCAGAAUGCAGGCCGGCCGGCUUAUAAAGCCUCUUAGGAGACAACUGAUGUUAUUGGUGGUACUAGCAAAGCUAUCUACAACUGAGGCUGACUGGGUAGGAAAGCAGGGAGAGAUUUAAGUGGUUGCAGCUGUUCUUCUAUGUAUAGACACAAACUGUGAUAUAUCACAA
This is a long non-coding RNA of Hemicordylus capensis (graceful crag lizard), 1475 nucleotides long. RefSeq lists it as uncharacterized. NCBI's taxonomy places the organism in Eukaryota, Metazoa, Chordata, Lepidosauria, Squamata, Cordylidae. The record is from RefSeq and is a predicted model, not a curated record. The transcript is spliced from 3 exons.